GGAUUUGAGGGCGAUCUGGCUUUGACAUCUGUCACCCCAUUGAUCACCAGUGCUUAUUUGGCUGAUCUGUUUGGCUGGGCAGGUGUCUGACCCGAAGCUGUGCACUCAUACUCAGUCAAACAGAACAACCAUCCUCAAUAGAGGACACACUUUGGUCAAGGGUAUAUGGGUAACUGUGAUCCCGUGCUAGAACCCCCAAGUAAGCUCUCAAAGGGGACUUUGGAUACAGAGACAGAAACAUAUAGAGGGAAGAAGAGGGGACGAGCAAGAAGAAGACACUGUCUCCAAGCCAAGGAGAGAGGCCUGGA
Molecule: small nuclear RNA, 308 nt
Filed under: Castor canadensis (American beaver)
Lineage: Eukaryota; Metazoa; Chordata; Mammalia; Rodentia; Castoridae
Description: 7SK RNA (ENSCCNG00000023104.1)
Rfam family: 7SK RNA
About the family: 7SK was discovered as an abundant small nuclear RNA in the mid-70s but a possible function has only recently been suggested.
Source: Rfam by way of RNAcentral